CAGGACAAGGCUCUGCCUUCUCCCUGGACAUUCAGUUGACUGAAAGACGGUCCUAAUAAUAAUAAUAAUAAUAAUAAUAAUAGUAAUAUUCUAAUAAUAAUAAUAUGACCAGCAGAACUAGUGAAUAUAACUUGCACAGAGCAGCACUCGAUAGGACAGCGGUGCAUAGCGGAGAGCAGGGCAGCCGCAAGCUUGUCAGAUGUGAAUGAAACAUCUGGAUCCCUAAUCUCCGAUGAAGGUAGCAGCAUCUUUUUACUUGGUCAGGACUCUGACUCAUUUUUUGAUGAGGAUGAACUGUUGUCUUGCACCCAGGAAAGGUCGCUGUCACAGCAGUCAUAUUUCUCUUCAUUUUAUUAUUUGUAUCACAUUUCUAAAACGCUCCCUAUAAACUCUUUAUAAACCUAUUUUUUAAAAGGCAAUAAUAAUUUGUUUUCCAAUAAUUUGGAUUUGUAAGUGUGGCAGAUUAGUUAGAUCCUCCCUGUAGUGACGUCAUGUUAUUGGUAGCCUAUCGUCCCGCAGGGAGGUGUGUAUAAAUGGCUGUUUGGUGCGGGCCGGAUGUGCGUCAUCUGUUCUGUGCCUGCGCUCUUCCUGUUUACCGGCAUUCAACAGAGGUCUGUGGUUAAAACACAGCCGUGUGGACAUUCUAACACCGCUUGUGUCAUUUGGUAGGGCUUUGUGUACACUGAAGAGUCUAUUGUAAACAACCGUUACGUGCUGUCUGGCUCGUUACACUGCCUAGUCCCAGGAGCUGUGUGUCCGACGGCAGUGAGGCUUUCCUUCACCGUGUGCUGUGUUAUGCUGUCCUAUCUGAUGCCAAUAGGCUACAGCUCUGAAACAAUUGUGAAUCCUUAUUGUGGAUUGUGAUUUCCAGCUUUAGUAAUUUGCUGGGAACAAGACAGCAGCGUAGACUCUCUUUGAAGGGUCUCUUUGGCCAUCUCUCCUGAUUGUGUUUCAGGUCCAAAUUUACUUCCUGCCCCGCCUUGCCUGGUGGAGCUGUGUGUCCGACGGCAGUGAGGCUUUCCUUCACCGUGUGCUGUGUUAUGCUGUGUGAGCACCACUGAUAAAAUCACGGGUAUUGGAGUGAGUGUGUGUGUGCGUGUGUGCACUUAGUGUGAUUCUCCUCUUUUGCUCCCUCUCUUAGCCUAUCUGAUGCCAAUAGGCUACAGCUCUGAAACAAUUGUGAAUCCUUAUUGUGGAUUGUGAUUUCCAGCUUUAGUAAUUUGCUGGGUGACUAUUAUUCCUGCAUUUUAAACUUUUGUACAAAUAAACAAACUCUAUUUUGCUACCCACGUCUCUUGCUCAUUUUAUUCAGUGGAAUGU
Paramisgurnus dabryanus is the source of this 1320-nucleotide non-coding RNA. The record is from RefSeq and is a predicted model, not a curated record. Lineage: Eukaryota; Metazoa; Chordata; Actinopteri; Cypriniformes; Cobitidae.